This 891-nucleotide ribosomal RNA is filed under the name uncultured Flavobacteriales bacterium. RNAcentral describes it as "bacterial SSU rRNA". It matches the Rfam family "Bacterial small subunit ribosomal RNA", at positions 506 to 1401 of the family's 1533-position model. The record is from RNAcentral. Lineage: Bacteria; Pseudomonadati; Bacteroidota; Flavobacteriia; Flavobacteriales.
UGCCAGCAGCCGCGGUAAUACGAAGGGUGCAAGCGUUAUCCGGAUUCAUUGGGUUUAAAGGGUGCGUAGGCGGAACAAUAAGUCAGCGGUGAAAUCCUGCAGCUCAACUGUAGAAUUGCCGUUGAUACUGUUGUUCUUGAGUACGCUUGACGUGGGCGGAAUGUGCCGUGUAGCGGUGAAAUGCUUAGAUAUGGCACAGAACACCGAUAGUGAAGACAGCUCACGAAGGCGAAACUGACGCUGAGGCACGAAAGCGUGGGGAUCGAACAGGAUUAGAUACCCUGGUAGUCCACGCCGUAAACGAUGAUCACUCGUGGUUGGCGAUAUACGGCCAGUCACCUAGCGAAAGCGUUAAGUGAUCCACCUGGGGAGUACGAUCGCAAGAUUGAAACUCAAAGGAAUUGACGGGGGCCCGCACAAGCGGUGGAGUAUGUGGUUUAAUUCGAUGCAACGCGAAGAACCUUACCUGGCCUAGACAUGUCCGGAAUCCUGCAGAGAUGCGGGAGUGCCUUCGGGAAUCGGAACACAGGUGCUGCAUGGCUGUCGUCAGCUCGUGUCGUGAGAUGUUGGGUUAAGUCCCGCAACGAGCGCAACCCUUGUCCUUAGUUGCCAGCACGUAAUGGUGGGAACUCUAAGGAGACUGCCGGUGCAAACCGUGAGGAAGGUGGGGAUGACGUCAAAUCAUCACGGCCCUUACGUCCUGGGCUACACACGUGCUACAGUGGGCGGUACAGAGAGCAGCCACUACGCAAGUAGGCGCGAAUCUUCAAAACCGUUCUCAGUUCGGAUCGGAGUCUGCAACUCGACUCCGUGAAGCUGGAUUCGCUAGUAAUCGCAUAUCAGCCAUGAUGCGGUGAUACGUUCCCGGGCCUGCACUCACCGCCCGUCAAG